AACUGCAUAGCAAGACCCUGCCUCAAACACACACACACACACACACACACACACACACACUCUAGAAAGACACCUAGAGAGGUUCCGCCUCCCUGCCUGGACUCUUGGGUGCGGUCUCCUUUCGGCUCCGCCUGGGCCCGCGGGUGGGAGGCGGGUGCAGCCGGGACGCGGUUCACAGCAAGAUUCUUCUGGGAACUGGGAAAUCUGCUCCUCAGUGGAUCCAUCAUGGAUGAGCUCCCGGCUGAAUGUGCUGUAGGAGGCAGGGCCUGGUGGAGGCGGUCACUGGGUGUGACCUGGAAGAAAAGUAACUGAGACAUCCGUGAAAGCAAUGAACAUACCAGACAUUGCAGACCUCCCAAAGGGCUGGAGCAAGCCAUCUUUUAUCUCUUCAUGCAUGAGCCACUUUGAUGACAACAAGGUCGUGGUUUUCCCAGCUGUAUUUCCACACACCCAUCCACUGAAAUGUUGGCGUUUCUCUCUUAUCCACUGGAAAUAAGUCCCAUGAAUAUAGCGAAAUCCUUUAUAGAAAGCAUGGCUCCUCUACGGGUGCACCUGCGACUGACUUUAGCUUACACAUCAGUAAGAGAUUAGUGACAAUAACCAAUAAUAGAAUAGAACAGUGCUAAUGAUACACUGUACUCAAUGGUAUGUAGAUACGAUUUAUCCCUGUUUUUCAAGAAUAAAUGCUGCACAAAUAUGACUUCUCA
Chinchilla lanigera (long-tailed chinchilla) is the source of this 707-nucleotide long non-coding RNA. RefSeq lists it as uncharacterized. NCBI's taxonomy places the organism in Eukaryota, Metazoa, Chordata, Mammalia, Rodentia, Chinchillidae. The transcript has 3 exons. The record is from RefSeq and is a predicted model, not a curated record.